GAUGAAGAACGCAGCGAAAUGCGAUAAGUAAUGUGAAUUGCAGAAUUCAGUGAAUCAUCGAAUCUUUGAACGCACAUUGCGCCCGCCAGUAUUCUGGCGGGCAUGCCUGUUCGAGCGUCAUUUCAACCAUCAAGCCCUGCUUGCGUUGGGGUCCUGCGGCUGCCCGCAGGCCCUGAAAACCAGUGGCGGGCUCGCUAGUCACACCGAGCGCAGUAAUACAUCUCGCUUUGGGCGUGCGGCGGGUUCUUGCCGUUAAACACCCCCUUUUUACCAAGGUUGACCUCGGAUCAGGUAGGAAUACCCGCUGAACUUAAGCAUCUCAAUAAGCGGAGGA
RNAcentral lists this unclassified non-coding RNA (334 nucleotides) under soil metagenome. Its description in RNAcentral is "partial contains 5.8S ribosomal RNA, internal transcribed spacer 2, and large subunit ribosomal RNA". The stretch from base 1 to 120 matches the Rfam family "5.8S ribosomal RNA", at positions 35 to 154 of the family's 154-position model. The record is from RNAcentral.